CAGCCGCCGCGGUAAUACGUAGGGUGCGAGCGUUAAUCGGAAUUACUGGGCGUAAAGCGCACGCAGGCGGUCUGACAAGUCAGAUGUGAAAUCCCCGGGCUUAACCUGGGAACUGCAUUUGAAACUGUCAGGCUGGAGUCUUGUAGAGGGGGGUAGAAUUCCAGGUGUAGCGGUGAAAUGCGUAGAGAUCUGGAGGAAUACCGGUGGCGAAGGCGGCCCCCUGGCCUAAUACUGACGCUGAGGUACGAAAGCAUGGGGAGCAAACAGGAUUAGAUACCCGAGUAGUCCCUGUCUCUUAUAC
This 301-nucleotide ribosomal RNA is filed under the name uncultured bacterium. RNAcentral's name for it is "partial 16S ribosomal RNA". It matches the Rfam family "Bacterial small subunit ribosomal RNA", at positions 509 to 807 of the family's 1533-position model. The record is from RNAcentral.